RNAcentral lists this unclassified non-coding RNA (1163 nucleotides) under Octopus sinensis (East Asian common octopus). Its description in RNAcentral is "magnesium-dependent phosphatase 1, transcript variant X1". The record is from RNAcentral. Lineage: Eukaryota; Metazoa; Mollusca; Cephalopoda; Octopoda; Octopodidae.
AUGAGUUUGAGGUUAAGAUGUUGGCGAUAUAACGUAAGGGAGAUCACUCUCGUUCUCUAGUUAUCAACAUGUGUCCGGUAUGGCGGUGUCCUAUGUAGACAAACCAAAGCUUAUUGUAUUUGACUUAGAUUAUACUUUGUGGCCUUUCUGGGUUGACACACAUGUUUCUCCGCCUUUUGAACUAAGGAAGGAUAAAGUAUAUGAUUCCCUUGGAGACCAUGUGACACAUUUCCCUGAAGUUCCAGAGGUGUUGCAGUCCCUUCAAAAUGAAGGUUAUAAGCUUGGUGUUGCUUCCAGAACAGGUGCAAUAAAAAGUGCAAAGCAGUUGAUGGAUUUAUUUAACUGGAGUAAAUAUUUUGAAUUUUCUGAGAUUUAUCCUGGAGAUAAAACAAUUCAUUUUUCCCAGUUUCAUAAACACAGCAACAUCCCAUAUGAAGAUAUGUUAUUCUUUGAUGAUGAAGGGAGGAAUGUAACAGCUGUUGGUAACAUAGGUGUAACAGCAAUUCAUGUACAUAAGAAUACUGGAGUUACUAAAGAAGUGAUGGAAGAAGGACUAAAAAAAUUUGCUGAAAACAAGAAAAAAGCUGCAUCCUAGCCUUUUAUGGAAAUCUUCUGUAACUGUUUCUAUUAUUUAAUGUUAGACUUUUGCAAAAUCCUUUCAUCCUCUGUUUUUAUACAAAAAAUGAAGGUUUACUAUAGCACAACCAACCUGAUCAGACCUUAACAUAUGUUUUCAGUUUUUAUGAAAUAUUUAUUAUGUAAAAGAAUAAAUUUAACUUUUAAAAUGCAAUGAACUCAUUUGUUUUUGUACUUAUCUUCUUGAAAGCAAUAGAAUAUUUUAAACUAUAUUUUUGUAGUUUAUCAUGGAAACAUUUUAAUGUCUCAGUACUUUUAGUCCUUGUGAAUACACUGUGUUUGUUUCUUAUUCUUUUCCUUUUAGCUGCUGAAAAUCAAACAAUACAUGGCUAAAUAUAUUAUGGGCAUCUAUAAUCUCAGUAUAUCUGAUCUACCUCAGGCUUUAGCUAAGAGUGCUGUUAAAACAUUGUUUUUUUCAGAUCUUUCAUUAUUGGCCUUAAAAUGCUUCCUGCAAGAAGGAUUGAUUGACUGUGAAGAUUUACAAUGUUGCAAAAUAUGUUAUGUUGAUUUUAACAACUUAUUACCAA